RNAcentral lists this ribosomal RNA (253 nucleotides) under uncultured bacterium. RNAcentral describes it as "partial 16S ribosomal RNA". It matches the Rfam family "Bacterial small subunit ribosomal RNA", at positions 524 to 776 of the family's 1533-position model. The record is from RNAcentral.
UACGGAGGGUGCCAGCGUUAUCCGGAAUCACUGGGUUUAAAGGGUGCGUAGGCGGCGCAAUAAGUCAGAGGUGAAAGACCACAGCUCAACUGUGGGACUGCCUUUGAUACUGUAGUGCUUGAAUUAGGCUGAGGUCGGCGGAAUGUGACAUGUACCGGUGAAAUGCUUAGAUAUGUCAUAGAACACCAAUUGCGCAGGCAGCUGACUAGCCCUUAAUUGACGCUGAGGCACGAAAGCGUGGGGAGCGCACAGG